RNAcentral lists this transfer RNA (77 nucleotides) under Clostridiales bacterium. RNAcentral's name for it is "tRNA-Pro". It matches the Rfam family "tRNA". From Rfam's summary of the family: Transfer RNA (tRNA) molecules are approximately 80 nucleotides in length. Their secondary structure includes four short double-helical elements and three loops (D, anti-codon, and T loops). Further hydrogen bonds mediate the characteristic L-shaped molecular structure. tRNAs have two regions of fundamental functional importance: the anti-codon, which is responsible for specific mRNA codon recognition, and the 3' end, to which the tRNAs corresponding amino acid is attached (by aminoacyl-tRNA synthetases). tRNAs cope with the degeneracy of the genetic code in two manners: having more than one tRNA (with a specific anti-codon) for a particular amino acid; and 'wobble' base-pairing, i.e. permitting non-standard base-pairing at the 3rd anti-codon position. Lineage: Bacteria; Bacillati; Bacillota; Clostridia; Eubacteriales. The record is from RNAcentral.
CGAGGUGUGGCUCAGUUUGGUAGAGGGCUGCGUUCGGGACGCAGAGGCCGUGGGUUCAAGUCCCGCCACCUCGACCA